RNAcentral lists this ribosomal RNA (490 nucleotides) under uncultured bacterium. Its description in RNAcentral is "partial 16S ribosomal RNA". It matches the Rfam family "Bacterial small subunit ribosomal RNA", at positions 30 to 507 of the family's 1533-position model. The record is from RNAcentral.
UGAACGCUGGCGGUAGGCCUAACACAUGCAAGUCGAACGGCAGCACAGUAGGAGCUUGCUCUUACGGGUGGCGAGUGGCGGACGGGUGAGGAAUACAUCGGAAUCUACUUUUUCGUGGGGGAUAACGUAGGGAAACUUACGCUAAUACCGCAUACGACCUACGGGUGAAAGCAGGGGAUCUUCGGACCUUGCGCGAUUGAAUGAGCCGAUGUCGGAUUAGCUAGUUGGCGGGGUAAAGGCCCACCAAGGCGACGAUCCGUAGCUGGUCUGAGAGGAUGAUCAGCCACACUGGAACUGAGACACGGUCCAGACUCCUACGGGAGGCAGCAGUGGGGAAUAUUGGACAAUGGGCGCAAGCCUGAUCCAGCCAUACCGCGUGGGUGAAGAAGGCCUUCGGGUUGUAAAGCCCUUUUGUUGGGAAAGAAAAGCAGCAGGUUAAUACCCCGCUGUUCUGACGGUACCCAAAGAAUAAGCACCGGCUAACUUCGUG